RNAcentral lists this ribosomal RNA (282 nucleotides) under uncultured bacterium. RNAcentral's name for it is "partial 16S ribosomal RNA". It matches the Rfam family "Bacterial small subunit ribosomal RNA", at positions 32 to 314 of the family's 1533-position model. The record is from RNAcentral.
GAUAACGCUGGCGGCGUGCCUAACACAUGCAAGUCGAACGCUUUCUUUGUCUUCGGACAAAGAGGGAGUGGCGGACGGGUGAGUAACACGUGGGUAAUCUAGCUUCGAGUGAGGAAUACCGACGAGAAAUCGUUGACAAUACCGCAUAUGCUUGCCACAUAGGCAAGCAAAGCCGAAAGGCGCUCGAAGAUGAGCCUGCGCCCGAUUAGCUAGCUGGUGGGAAAGUCCGUAACCNCGGGCGACGGAUCGGUAGCGUGGUCUGAGAGGACGAUCAGCCACACU